GCAGAAGAUGUAGAAUUCCUGCUAAGAGAUUGGUGCAGAGAGCAUAAAAUCGCAACCUCUGAACGGAUGAAGAGGUUGCGGGAGCGGAAUGACCUACCCCAUUGUGUGGGAUCUAAAAGUUAUGCCAGAUUUAAUCACGAGGAGGUAAUUAAAUAUAUAUGUUUAUGUUUUUAAUAUUUGUUGGUAAUUGUUUUUCUUUUUCUUUUUCUUUAAACUAUUUUUAUCGCUAUCUGUUUGUUAUAUAUGUCAACUGCAUGACGACAGACAUGUACAUCUGGCACGCCCCCCACUCGCGCCGCGUCGUUCGUGAAGACCCACACAAGGAAGGACGGCACUUUCGUGAACGACCGUACACGGGUCUUAUGCGAGAGGAUGACGCAGAGUUUAGCCAGUGAUCCAGCCGCCACGCAAAGCGUCUCCGCAGACACGGUGCGUUGGGCACCGAACGACGCUUAGGAACAGGCGAUUGGGAGGCCUGAGUAUGCAGGGAGGGUUCGGCAGGUUGGGCCGAACGUCACACCUGUUCGA
Molecule: long non-coding RNA, 528 nt
Organism: Alnus glutinosa
Lineage: Eukaryota; Viridiplantae; Streptophyta; Magnoliopsida; Fagales; Betulaceae
Exons: 3
Source: RefSeq, a predicted model, not a curated record